UACGUAGGGGGCUAGCGUUGUCCGGAAUCAUUGGGCGUAAAGCGCGCGUAGGCGGCCAGAUAAGUCCGGUGUGAAAUUCCUGGGCUCAACCUUGGAACUGCCUUUGAUACUGGGGAUCUUGAGUCCGGGAGAGGUGAGUGGAACUGCGAGUGUAGAGGUGAAAUUCGUAGAUAUUCGCAAGAACACCAGUGGCGAAGGCGGCUCACUGGCCCGGUACUGACGCUGAGGUGCGAAAGCGUGGGGAGCAAACAGGG
This 254-nucleotide ribosomal RNA is filed under the name uncultured bacterium. RNAcentral describes it as "partial 16S ribosomal RNA". It matches the Rfam family "Bacterial small subunit ribosomal RNA", at positions 524 to 777 of the family's 1533-position model. The record is from RNAcentral.